CCUACGGGAGGCAGCAGUGAGGAAUAUUGGUCAAUGGGCGGGAGCCUGAACCAGCCAAGUCGCGUGAGGGACGACGGUCCUAUGGAUUGUAAACUUCUUUUGUCGGGGAACAAAGGCGCCCACGGGUGGGCGGAUGAGUGUACCCGAAGAAAAAGCAUCGGCUAACUCGGUGCCAGCAGCCGCGGUAGAACGGGGGAUGCGAGCGUUAUCCGGAUUUCUUGGGUUUAAGGGGUGCGUAGGGGGACGGUUAGGUCAGCGGUAAAAAUGCGGUGCUCAACGCGGUACAGCCGUUGAAACUGGCAGACUUGAGUGGGCGAGAAGUAGGCGGAAUGCGUGGUGUAGCGGUGAAAUGCAUAGAUAUCACGCAGAACACCGAUUGCGAAGGCAGCUUGCCGGCGCCCAACUGACGCUGAGGCACGAAAGCGUGGGUAUCGAACAGGAUUAGAUACCCUUGUAGUC
This 459-nucleotide ribosomal RNA is filed under the name uncultured bacterium. Its description in RNAcentral is "partial 16S ribosomal RNA". It matches the Rfam family "Bacterial small subunit ribosomal RNA", at positions 338 to 795 of the family's 1533-position model. The record is from RNAcentral.